Molecule: ribosomal RNA, 253 nt
Filed under: uncultured bacterium
Lineage: Bacteria
Description: partial 16S ribosomal RNA
Rfam family: Bacterial small subunit ribosomal RNA
Source: RNAcentral
UACAGAGGUCCCAAGCGUUGUUCGGAUUCACUGGGCGUAAAGGGUGCGUAGGUGGUCGGGUAAGUCCGAUGUGAAAUCUCCAGGCUCAACCUGGAAAUGGCAUUGGAUACUAUCUGGCUUGAGGAGUGGAGGGGGGACUGGAAUUCUCGGUGUAGCAGUGAAAUGCGUAGAUAUCGGGAGGAACACCAGUGGCGAAGGCGGUGCUCUGGGCCGGAACUGACGCUGAGGAGCGAAAGCGUGGGUAGCAAACAGG